RNAcentral lists this ribosomal RNA (501 nucleotides) under uncultured bacterium. Its description in RNAcentral is "partial 16S ribosomal RNA". It matches the Rfam family "Bacterial small subunit ribosomal RNA", at positions 899 to 1397 of the family's 1533-position model. The record is from RNAcentral.
ACUCAAAGGAAUUGACGGGGACCCGCACAAGCGGUGGAUGAUGUGGAUUAAUUCGAUGCAACGCGAAAAACCUUACCUACCCUUGACAUGGUUCGAAUCCUAUAGAGAUAGAGGAGUGCUCGCAAGAGAACGAAUACACAGGUGCUGCAUGGCUGUCGUCAGCUCGUGUCGUGAGAUGUUGGGUUAAGUCCCGCAACGAGCGCAACCCUUAUCAUUAAUUGCCAGCAUGUAAAGAUGGGCACUUUAAUGAGACUGCCGGUGACAAACCGGAGGAAGGUGGGGAUGACGUCAAGUCCUCAUGGCCCUUAUGGGUAGGGCUUCACACGUCAUACAAUGGUGCAUACAGAGGGUUGCCAAGCCGCGAGGUGGAGCUAAUCUCAGAAAGUGCAUCGUAGUCCGGAUUGGAGUCUGCAACCCGACUCCAUGAAGUUGGAAUCGCUAGUAAUCGCGGAUCAGCAUGUCGCGGUGAAUACGUUCCCGGGUCUUGUACACACCGCCCGU